This is a long non-coding RNA of Gorilla gorilla gorilla (western lowland gorilla), 393 nucleotides long. RefSeq lists it as uncharacterized. The record is from RefSeq and is a predicted model, not a curated record. The transcript is spliced from 2 exons. Lineage: Eukaryota; Metazoa; Chordata; Mammalia; Primates; Hominidae.
AUGGCCCCUGCUUGGAACUAGACAGGAACAUUCCUCCAGCCUCCAUCAUCCUCCCCUUCCCCUACUCUGAGGAAACUUCUCACCUUUCAUUGGACUCUAAGUUCCUUGGAGAGUCAGUACUCACGGCAUCCCAUCCAGGAUACCUGUUACAUUUACUUGUCAUGUCUCCUCAAGCUUCUCUUGGCUAUGACAGUUUUUUAGACUUUCCUUGAUUUUGAUGACCUUGACAGUUUUGAGGAGUUCUGGGCCCGAUAUUGCAGGACGCCUCCUUAUCGAAAUUUGUCUGAUGUUUUCCUCAUGAUUAGAUUGGGGUUGUGAGUUUUGGGGGGAAGGUAAUAGAGGAAAAGUGUCAUCUUCAUCACAUCAUAUUAAAGGUACAUAUUAGUGACAUGA